This 219-nucleotide ribosomal RNA is filed under the name uncultured bacterium. Its description in RNAcentral is "partial 16S ribosomal RNA". It matches the Rfam family "Bacterial small subunit ribosomal RNA", at positions 28 to 263 of the family's 1533-position model. The record is from RNAcentral.
GACGAACGCUGGCGGCGUGCUUAAUACAUGCAAGUCUAAGGGUUUAUCUUCCUUCGGGAAGAUAGACACUGGCGCACGGGUGAGUAACACGUAAGUCAUCUGCCCUUGGGUCUGGCACAACUCCGGGAAACCGGGCUAAUUCCAGAUGAUACCGAAAGGUCAAAGUUUCGACGCCCAAGGAUGAGCUUGCGUCUGAUUAGCUAGUUGGCGGGGUAAUGG